RNAcentral lists this ribosomal RNA (433 nucleotides) under uncultured bacterium. RNAcentral describes it as "partial 16S ribosomal RNA". It matches the Rfam family "Bacterial small subunit ribosomal RNA", at positions 28 to 507 of the family's 1533-position model. The record is from RNAcentral.
AACGAACGCUGGCGGCAGGCCUAACACAUGCAAGUCGAGCGGACCUUUCGGGGUCAGCGGCGGACGGGGGUGUAACGCGUGGGAAUAUGCCCUUCUCUACGGAAUAGCUCUGGGAAACUGGGGGUAAUACCGUAUACGCGCUUUGGGGGAAAGAUUUAUCGGGGCAGGAUUAGCCCGCGUGGGAUUCGGUCGUGGGGGGGGUAAUGGCAUACUACGCGGACGAUCCAUAGCUGGUUUGAGAGGAAGAUCAGCGACACUGGGAGUGAGACGCGGCCCAGACUCUUACGGGAGGCAGCAGUGGGGGAUCUUGGACAAUGGGGGCAACCCUGAUGUAGCCAUGACGGGUGAGUGAUGAAGGCCUUAGGGUUGUAAAGCUCUUUCAGCUGGGAAGAUAAUGACGGUACCAGCAGAAGAAGCCCCGGCUAACUCCGUG